CACCAUCAUCAUCACCCUGACUAGUUCUUUCAGGCGGAUGAGUGCUGGAAGACGGUCAACGGAUCUUCCAGUGGCGACAGACGCAAGAUGUGAAAAAGCCCUCGGAAGAUCUUCUUCCGAGGGCUUUUUU
RNAcentral lists this small RNA (130 nucleotides) under Edwardsiella tarda. Its description in RNAcentral is "Histidine operon leader". It matches the Rfam family "Histidine operon leader". Rfam says of the family: At least 6 amino acid operons are known to be regulated by attenuation. In each a leader sequence of 150-200 bp is found upstream of the first gene in the operon. This leader sequence can assume two different secondary structures known as the terminator and the anti-terminator structure. Lineage: Bacteria; Pseudomonadati; Pseudomonadota; Gammaproteobacteria; Enterobacterales; Hafniaceae. The record is from RNAcentral.